ACUACAGGAGAAGAGAUCAGGUAGAAAUUCAGUGUGAUCUAUGAGAUGAUUGCCUCUUAGAGAAGGGGAAAAUGACAGUUACCUUCCUGGUAAUGUAUUGCUUCUACCAGACAGAAGUUUCUGUUUUAGAAUGCGUACAGCCAACAGCUGAGUACCACAAACUCUUGGAAAUAUCUCUGUCAAGCUGAUAUAUUUCCAUUCCACUUUUGCAGCCAUAACAGUUCCUAUAAUUACAUGAAUAAGCAAGAGAUCAGGAACAUGGCUGCAGUUCCUAUAUUUUUUUCUUUAAUGCAAUUUAUAUAACUUAUAUAUUUAUAUAAUUUGCUAAACAUAUACACGCAGAAAGUAAAGGAGUAGGAGUACCCGGAAUGGCAAUGCUAUUUAGGAUUAAUUUGUAACAUAUAUCACUUUUCCUGUGUUCUUCCUAGAAAGUGGAGAAUAUUCCAUUACAGAGAGAAUGUGCCCAGUCACACAGUCACCCUAAGCUCAUUCCCAAGCCCCUUAGGCUAACUCACCUUAGAGUAGUAAAGAAUUUGUUUAAAAGCUCAAUCGCCAGUUAGAGGAAUUGUAAACAAAAGCAAUACUGAGAUAAAAAGACAAGUAUCAAGUGACCCAUGCAAAGGGAUUAGGAGGUGGCAGCCCUCCCUGCUGCAGAACUUAAUGUAGCUGAGUUUAAGACACUUGUUAUAAAGAGGCCUCAAGGGACAAAUUAUAAGUGAAAUAACAGCCUUCAUUGUGAAGCACCUUGCUUGUCAAACAUAAGUUAUUUUCACACUAUUUACAUUGGCACCAUUCUGGGAACAGACAGUAACAGCCUUUGCUUUUUAAUAGCUUAGAAAAUGCUUUAUAGAAGUUUACUCUCAUAAUGAAGCUAUUUCCCAUCUCUAGAUUUUUAGGGAUUAGCUUCCUUGUUUUGCUUUGAAUAGAGACCUAGUAAUCCUGUAGAGACAUUUUCUGUGUCCUGACCUUGGGAAAAUCUUUUUUUUUUUUCUUUUCUGAUUACCAAAAUGAGUCUAUCUACUCUCUUUUUACAAUAUUGUAGACAAAAAUGCUUAUAUCUGACUCUUCGCGGCUAUUCCAAUUUUCAACUUUGAUAGCAUAAUAAAUUAAGGCCCAGUCUUCGUCACUCAUAUCACAUCCAUAUAAUUUUCUUGCAUUAUUACAAGAGCCUAAGUUCAUUCUCUUGGAAAGCAUCAGAACAAAUGAGAGUGAGCACAAACUCAUACAGCUGAGACAUUUUCCAAAACAGAUGCUCAGGAAGCCUUGCUGAGUAAACAGUAAAUGUGCAACACCAUAAUGAGGCUGAGAAAGUGAAAGCAUGUGGCUUGUUAAGUAGGAGAUUUUUCUGCUCUUUAGAGCAGCAAAGAGAUUUCUGGAAGAUGCUGUCUGCGGAGAGUAGUGGAUGAAAAUUCAAAAGCUGGAUUAAGAAAAUCUGAGGAUAAAGGAGCAUAAUAUGUUUAUUAAGAAAGAGAAGUUGUGAUCUGUAAUGAGUGAUGUUUUGAGUUUGGCCCUCAGAGCAGAGCCAUCUCCUUGUGAUAUGGAGUUCUCUUGGCUGCCGAGCAGCUUCUGAUUUGUGACAGCAAGGACAGGUGCUACGUGCUCAGUAAAUCAAAGGAUAAAACACUUUUUAACAAUGUUAUAACAGAAUUUUAUCCUGUGCUGUGGCUUACAAAACACACUCUUGGAAAGUUACAAGAAACACCUAAUUCUACUGCACUCACCUCUUUACAAAUCUGCCUUGAUCCCAUGGCUAUUCUCUGAUUUCUCUCUCCAUACGGUGCUGCUGGACUCUGCUAUUAUUAGUGUACGGUUAAGAAGUAAUAUAAGUACUGUAUUUAUUACAUCAAGAGUUCCUAAUAAUUAUUAACAGUUUUGAAAAUAAAUGGUGUCUGCUUAGCUGAACAAGAUAUAACAGAGCUAACAUUUUGUACUCCUAACAAGUUCUGCAUAUAGUAUGGUGUAUAUUUAUUUCACACAAAAUGCUAGGUUGUUAUUUGAAACCCAAACUCAAAAAAAUGGACCGACUUUCUGAAUACUUGGUUUCUGGCAUUCAAUUUCAGUAGUAAAAGCAUAUAUGAUGUAUUGUAUUAACUUAAUUAUAUAUUAGAGAUGCUGCUGUACUUUGUGUUGAAAUGGAUCUGGAGUUCUUGGCACCUUUGCUAUUUUACAUAAUAAACACAUGGGGAUGAUCU
Long non-coding RNA from Gallus gallus (chicken), 2192 nucleotides. NCBI's taxonomy places the organism in Eukaryota, Metazoa, Chordata, Aves, Galliformes, Phasianidae. The record is from Ensembl.